This 91-nucleotide transfer RNA is filed under the name Sclerotinia borealis F-4128. It matches the Rfam family "tRNA". From Rfam's summary of the family: Transfer RNA (tRNA) molecules are approximately 80 nucleotides in length. Their secondary structure includes four short double-helical elements and three loops (D, anti-codon, and T loops). The record is from Rfam by way of RNAcentral. Lineage: Eukaryota; Fungi; Ascomycota; Leotiomycetes; Helotiales; Sclerotiniaceae.
UCUUUGAUGGUCUAACGGUCAUGAUUUCCGCUUGUCAUUGCUUCAACAAUACAAAUCGCGGGAGACCGGGGUUCGACUCCCCGUCAGAGAG